AUGCCGUCUCGGGGAGGGUAACAAUAUGUGAAAGCCAAAUAGAAGCCAGCUGGACAGCACUGAAGGCUUGGAAAAGUGGCAAUAAAGUUACCUAAGAAUAAAAUGGAUGUUUUUAUUAAAUAAAUAGGAUGUAUUCCUAUGAAACGUGUGUAUUGAAAACUUGGGUUUUACCCAUAUGUUUAAUGUUAUAAAACAUGGUGGUUUACU
RNAcentral lists this long non-coding RNA (207 nucleotides) under Helianthus annuus (common sunflower). RNAcentral's name for it is "hypothetical non coding rna". Lineage: Eukaryota; Viridiplantae; Streptophyta; Magnoliopsida; Asterales; Asteraceae. The record is from RNAcentral.